RNAcentral lists this ribosomal RNA (422 nucleotides) under uncultured bacterium. RNAcentral's name for it is "partial 16S ribosomal RNA". It matches the Rfam family "Bacterial small subunit ribosomal RNA", at positions 362 to 776 of the family's 1533-position model. The record is from RNAcentral.
UUUUGGGCAAUGGGGGAAACCCUGAUCCAGCUAUCCCGCGAGUAUGAGGACGGCCUUCUGGUAGUAUAGUACUUUUGGCGGAGAAGAAAAGUUAUCUCCUAUUAUGGGAUACUGCUGACGUUAUCUGCAGAAUAAGCACCGGCUAACACGGUGCCAGCAGCGGCGGUAAUACGUAGGGUGACAGCGUUAAUCGGAAUUACUGGGCGUAAAGAGUGUGUCGGAGGUUCGGAAAGAAAGAUGGGAAAUACCAGGGCUCAACCUUGGAAAUGCAUUUUUAACUGCCGAGCUAGAGUAUGUCAGAGGGGGGUAGAAUUCCACGUGUAGCAGUGAAAUGCGUAGAUAUGUGGAGGAAUACCGAUGGCGAAGGCAGCCCCCUGGGAUAAUACUGACCCUAAGACACGAAAGCGUGGGGAGCAAACAGG